GAGAAGAGAAGAGAAGAGAAGAGAAGAGAAGAAAAAUGAAAAUGCAUGUAAAUCAUUUUACAAAAUAUAAAGCACCAUGGAAAUGUCAAUGCUUUGGUUGAAUGCAUUUUGUCACAUAGAAUGAUCAGAUUAAAAGGAAGUAAUGAGAAUUCACCUGUGACCUAGAGGAUUCAGGAGAAUUGUUGACUGAUUAAUUUUUAAAUGUGUGAUAGCUGAUUUUUUUUCCUUUCUUUACUUCUGCAGGUGUGAAGGUCCAGGUCUUGAAGGCUGUCCCACACCCGGCCCCAAGAUUCCUUCCAUUGCCACUGGAAUUAUAGGUGGCCUUCUCUUACUACUGGUGUUGGGCCUUGGCAUUGGUCUCUUCUUUCGAAGGCGCCAUAUUGUCCGUAAACGCACACUGCGCAGGCUGCUACAGGAAAGGGAGCUUGUUGAACCUCUUACCCCCAGUGGAGAAGCUCCAAACCAGGCUCUUUUGCGGAUCUUAAAGGAGACAGAAUUUAAAAAGCUCAAAGUUCUUGGCUCUGGAGCUUUUGGCACAGUAUAUAAGGUAAGAAGAUCCAGAUAUACAUUAAUAAAGUAGAUAAAAGGAAUCUGAUUAGUCUACCACAUGGACUAUGGAUAGGGACGCAUAUACAUGUAAGAGGUGUUAAAUACCACAAACAAUGGCAGCA
Long non-coding RNA from Gracilinanus agilis (Agile Gracile Mouse Opossum), 671 nucleotides. RefSeq lists it as uncharacterized. The transcript is spliced from 3 exons. The record is from RefSeq and is a predicted model, not a curated record. NCBI's taxonomy places the organism in Eukaryota, Metazoa, Chordata, Mammalia, Didelphimorphia, Didelphidae.